CGGAGGGGGCUAGCGUUAUUCGGAAUUAUUGGGCGUAAAGGGCGCGUAGGCGGCUUGAUAAGUCAAAGGUGAAAUCCCUCGGCUCAACUGAGGAACUGCCUUUGAAACUAUCGAGCUUGAGGCCGGGAGGGGGUAGCGGAAUUCCCAGUGUAGCGGUGAAAUGCGUAGAUACUGGGAGGAACACCGGUGGCGAAGGCGGCUACCUGGACCGGUUCUGACGCUGAGGCGCGAAAGCGUGGGUAGCAAACAGGAUUAGAUACCCUGGUAGUCCACGCUGUAAACGAUGGGUGCUCGGUGUCGCGGGUAUCGACCCCUGCGGUGCCUUAGCUAACGCGUUAAGCACCCCCCUGGGGAGUACGGUCGCAAGGCUG
This 371-nucleotide ribosomal RNA is filed under the name uncultured organism. RNAcentral's name for it is "bacterial SSU rRNA". It matches the Rfam family "Bacterial small subunit ribosomal RNA", at positions 526 to 896 of the family's 1533-position model. The record is from RNAcentral.